GGGGGUGACUGGUUUCGACAGGGUUGUUCUGAGGUGGGCAGCAAGCCGUGGUCUCCUCGCCACGUUAAACAGGGGUACCGUCAAAAUGAAUUGACGACAACUCUUAUGUGGGCGACUACGCCCUCGCCGCAUAACAUAAGUCGGCGCGUCUAACCGGGGGUUUCCCUCGCUCCCGGGGCGACGUCAUUUUAGGGGGAUGCUCCUGCGGACGUAGCUGGUAUGCCGCAGGUCAAGACCGAACUAGCUAGGGCGCGAAGCGCCGGUCGCCACGUGCGACGCGCCCGAACCACAAGUGACGACUGAGCUUGGAGACACCUGCCAGGGGAUGGCUUUGGACCGGAGUUCGAUUCUCCGCACCUCCACCA
RNAcentral lists this transfer-messenger RNA (365 nucleotides) under Atopobiaceae. RNAcentral describes it as "UBA1367 sp902777325 Standard tmRNA". It matches the Rfam family "transfer-messenger RNA". From Rfam's summary of the family: Bacterial tmRNA, also known as 10Sa RNA or SsrA, is named for its dual tRNA and mRNA-like properties. Lineage: Bacteria; Bacillati; Actinomycetota; Coriobacteriia; Coriobacteriales. The record is from RNAcentral. RNAcentral also lists the same sequence under 1 other name.